Molecule: non-coding RNA, 81 nt
Organism: Picea glauca (white spruce)
Lineage: Eukaryota; Viridiplantae; Streptophyta; Pinopsida; Pinales; Pinaceae
Source: Rfam
GUCAAAAUGGUCGAGUUGGUCUAAGGCGCCAGUUUCAGGUACUGGUCCGAAAGGGCAUGGGUUCAAAUCUCAUUCUUGACA